GCAAACCAUUGCUCAGUGGCAGAGCAUCUCCCUUGCAUGCAGAAGGCUCCAGGUUCAAUCUCUGGCAUCUCCA
Molecule: non-coding RNA, 73 nt
Organism: Podarcis lilfordi (Lilford's wall lizard)
Lineage: Eukaryota; Metazoa; Chordata; Lepidosauria; Squamata; Lacertidae
Source: the annotation of a GenBank genome assembly